AAGUCGUAACAAGGUUUCCGUAGGUGAGUGGCCUGUUUUUCAUAACACCCUCACCCCCAACUUCCGAAAAGCCCGUUCGUAACUGCAUCGUUGUCCUGUCUCUGUCAACAAGGAACCGAUGCAUCCGACAAGUUACUUGGGCCGUUGGGGGUAGAUAGACAAUACCACACCUCUACACCACUCUCUCUGACCUGAAUCUUUGCUUAACUCUCUUCUUUUAGGUGAACCUGCGGAAGAUCAUUACCGAGUUAGGGUCCGUUUUGGGACUCGACCUCCUACCCUUUGUCUACCUUACCAUAUGUUGCUUCGGCGGAUCCGUCCUCUAGGGGACCGCCGGAGGGGUUUCAAACCCCCUCUGGCCCGUGUCCGUCGGUGGCCUUAACCACAAACUCAUGUUGUAAACGUGUCGUCUAAGUAUCAAAACAAAAAAUAAGUAAAAACUUUCAACAACGGAUCUCUUGGUUCUGGCAUCGAUGAAGAACGCAGCGAAAUGCGAUAAGUAAUGCGAAUUGCAGAAUCCGUGAGUCAUCGAAUCUUUGAACGCACAUUGCGCCCUUUGGUAUUCCGAAGGGCAUGCCUGUUCGAGCGUCAUUAUCACCCCUCAAGCCCUCGGCUUGGUGUUGGGCUGGAUUUGUCACAAAAUCGGCCUCAAAGACAGUGACGGCGUCCCAGAUGGAACCGGUACGAGGAGCUUUUAACUAAGCAUGUACGCGGCGGGAAUCUGUGGGCGGCGGUCUUUAACCACUACUCUUCGGAGUAUCUUUCCAAGUGUUGACCUCGGAUCAGGUAGGGAUACCCGCUGAACUUAA
RNAcentral lists this ribosomal RNA (809 nucleotides) under uncultured fungus. Its description in RNAcentral is "eukaryotic LSU rRNA". The stretch from base 439 to 591 matches the Rfam family "5.8S ribosomal RNA". The record is from RNAcentral. Lineage: Eukaryota; Fungi.